Molecule: small nucleolar RNA, 83 nt
Organism: Juglans regia (Persian walnut)
Lineage: Eukaryota; Viridiplantae; Streptophyta; Magnoliopsida; Fagales; Juglandaceae
Product: small nucleolar RNA U83
Exons: 1
Source: RefSeq, a predicted model, not a curated record
AGCCGAUGAUGAAACAAACGGUAUUUGCACAACGUAUGACAGUUCAUGAUUGCAUUAAUACCUACUGCCUUCCUUCUGAGGCC